GAUGAAGAACGUAGUGAACGUGCGAAACGUAAUGUGAAUUGCAGAAUUCAGUGAAUCAUCGAAUCUUUGAACGCAUCUUGCGCUCCUUGGUAUUCCGAGGAGCAUGCCUGUUUGAGUGUCGUGAAUACUCUCAACUUCAACCCUUUUUUCGGAAAGGGAGGAAGGUUGGACUUGGGUGUUUGUUGAAGUGCGAGCUUCGACUCAUCCUAAAUGCAUUAGCGAUCUGCCUCGAUCACACACAAUGUGAUAAUUAAAACUAAAGCAUUGUUUAAUGAUCAAGUCGAGACUGCUUCUAACUGUCGCAAGACAAUAACGUGCAUACAUUUGUGCAUGUCAUUUGACCUCAAAUCAGGUAGGACUACCCGCUGAACUUAAGCAUAUCAAUAAGCGGAGGA
Molecule: unclassified non-coding RNA, 395 nt
Filed under: soil metagenome
Description: partial contains 5.8S ribosomal RNA, internal transcribed spacer 2, and large subunit ribosomal RNA
Rfam family: 5.8S ribosomal RNA (bases 1-121)
Source: RNAcentral